RNAcentral lists this ribosomal RNA (408 nucleotides) under uncultured bacterium. Its description in RNAcentral is "partial 16S ribosomal RNA". It matches the Rfam family "Bacterial small subunit ribosomal RNA", at positions 28 to 526 of the family's 1533-position model. The record is from RNAcentral.
GACGAACGCUGGCGGCGUGCUUAACACAUGCAAGUCGAACGAAGUGGCGAACGGGUGAGUAACGCGUAAUCAACCUGCCCUUCAGAGGGGGUCAACAGUUGGAAACGACUGCUAAUACUGCAUACAGAAGGAGGGGGUUGCGUCUGAUUAGCUAGUUGGAGGGGUAAAGGCCCACCAAGGCGAAGAUCAGUAGACGGUCUGAGAGGAUGAACGGCCACAUUGGAACUGGUACACGGCCCAGACUCCUACGGGAAGCAGCAGUGGGGGAUCUUACGCGAUGGACGAAAGUCUGACGGAGCAAAGCCGCGUGAGUGAUGACGGCCUUCGGGUUGUAAAGCUCUGUUAAUCGGGACGCGGUACCGGCAUAGAAAGCCACGGCUAACUACGUGCCAGCAGCCGCGGUAAUUC